GGUCCCAUAGCUCAGUUGGUUAGAGCGUCGUACUAAUAGUCAUACCCCGUCCUUCGGACGGUGACCAUUGAGUGAAAUGCGAAGGCCGAGAGUUCAAGCCUCUCUGGGACCA
This is a non-coding RNA of Coniochaeta sp. 2T2.1, 112 nucleotides long. NCBI's taxonomy places the organism in Eukaryota, Fungi, Ascomycota, Sordariomycetes, Coniochaetales, Coniochaetaceae. The record is from the annotation of a GenBank genome assembly.